CGGUACGCGAGCUGGGUUCAGAACGUCGUGAGACAGUUCGGUCCCUAUCCGGCGCGGGCGUAGGAUAUUUGAGAGGAGCUGCCCCUAGUACGAGAGGACCGGGGUGGACGGACCACUGGUGUAUCAGCUGUCGACCAACGGCAUAGCUGAGUAGCCAAGUCUGGACGGGAUAAACGCUGAAGGCAUCUAAGCGUGAAGCCCCCCUCAAGAUGAGAUAUCCCAUUCCUUUAAGGAAAUAAGAUCCCUUAUAGACGAUAAGGUAGAUAGGUUCAAGGUGUAAGUGUGGUAACGCAUUCAGCUGAUGAAUACUAAUAGAUCGAAGGUUUAUUCU
This 331-nucleotide ribosomal RNA is filed under the name Pseudobutyrivibrio ruminis DSM 9787. RNAcentral describes it as "bacterial LSU rRNA". It matches the Rfam family "Bacterial large subunit ribosomal RNA", at positions 2594 to 2925 of the family's 2925-position model. The record is from RNAcentral. Lineage: Bacteria; Bacillati; Bacillota; Clostridia; Lachnospirales; Lachnospiraceae.